This 8059-nucleotide small RNA is filed under the name Mytilus galloprovincialis (Mediterranean mussel). The record is from RNAcentral. Lineage: Eukaryota; Metazoa; Mollusca; Bivalvia; Mytilida; Mytilidae.
AUGUGGACCAGAUCCAAAGGACCAAUAGACCUUCAUCACUCGUGGAUGAUAAGUAUGUUUCCAGAAAAUGGCACCCCCACAACAUCAGAUGGAGAAACAAAUCUGAUACUCCAACAACCAGGAACUUCUGGCCUCCAACAACCAGGAACUUCUGGACUCCAAAACUCAGCAACUGCCAGCCUCCAACAACCUGGACCUUCAGGUCACCAAACAGCACCAACAACUAAUGCUACAACAACAACAGUACCUACAACAUCAACAGUUCCAACAGUGAGUACUCAUGCACCUGUCAUUACAUAUCAACCACCACCUCAACCAUCCAACCAACAAAUACCGCCAGGUUUCCAGAUAGAGCACAAAAUAAAUGUUCAAAUAAAACCGUAUGAUGGGAAAGUUUCACCAAGUCAAUGGUGGCAAAAAUUUUUAGCUUUUAUAACACUUCAGCAUAUGACAGACAAACAAGCAAUAUUAUCAUUACCGUUCCAUUUAGAGGACAAACCAAGUGAAUGGUUUUCAACCUUAGCUGAUGAAGCAAAACAAUCAUUGGCAACAAUCAAGACGGCUUUCAUAAGCAGAUUUCAACCUCAAGUCAGUUCAAGUAUUAACUUGACAAAGUUAAAGCAGUCUCCAACCGAAAAUAUCGAAGAUUAUAUUCAUCGGGCAAUUCAGUACAAUAAGUAUAGGAGUGCCUCAGUACCGUUUUUGAUAGAACUUGCUAUUAAUGGAAUGAAAUCCUCUAUUGCCCACAUAAUUAUUCCUCAACAACCACAAACUAUUGAAGAGUUAAGGAAAAUCGCAUCAAUAGCUGAAAUGACAGUAAAUCAAACAAAAACACUAGACGAAACCAACAUCAAUGACAGCGUCGAAAAAUUUGUUGCAUCAGCUGAAGCAAGACUCAUGGACAAUUUGGCAGAAAGAUUCUCAAGUACCAUCUCUGCAAUAAAUUCUUCAAUGGAUGAAAAAAUUACCAGCUACAAUCCAAAUACCUAUAAACCGGUUGAAAACAACCAAUAUGUUCAACCACAAUACCAACCACAACUCCAGAAUAACUAUCAGCCAAUCCAGCAAUUCCAACAAUUCCAACCACGCCAACAAUUCCAACCACGUCAGCAAUUCCAACCACGCCAACAAUUCCAACCACGUCAGCAAUUCCAACCAAGACAGCAAUUCCAGCCACAACAGCAGAAUCGAACAAGAUAUCAGCAAACCACGAACCAGACACAGCAAUGGUCACCACAAAACCAGACAAACCAAAAUACAAAUUGUAUAGGCUGUGGUAAGUUUUGUAUAUCAAGGUCCAAAUGUCCUGCAUUUAAUAAGUUUUGUUUAAAAUGUGGUAAACAAGGUCAUUUUCACUAUGUAUGCAAUCAGGGUAAUCAAAACUUUCAACAGUCUGUCAAUUUCCAAUAGGGGUGCGAGCCUGCUUGUAGGCAACAUAGGUCUAUAGGUGGGCAUAAUGACAAUCACAAUCAUAAGGCAAUUGUAAAUUUGUUGACAACUUUUCAUCCUCAAAAGAGUACUACACAAGUUUCUGUUGGUGACACGAGAACUCAUGCUUUGUUAGACAGUGGAGCAAAUAUUUCAGUUAUGCAUUCUAACUUUCUGAACAAAACUUCAUAUUCAAAAAACAAACUUCUUCCGCCUGAUAUACCAUCUAUAAUUGCAGUGAAUGGUGAUCAUGUCAGAAUAUUAGGCAAAAUAAAAAUCAAGGUCACAAUAGGAGAUAGAGACUAUCAACAAAUGGUCUAUGUGCUUAACAAACUUCACCAUUCAUUGAUAUUAGGGGUAGAUUUUUUGAAAAACUCAAAAGCACAUUUGUGCUUUGACACAAACACAGUCACUUUAACAGACAACCCAAGCAUAUCAACUGUUAUAAAAAUGGACACAAAAUCUGGUUUAGCAAGAGUCAAAAAUGCUGUUAUAAUUUCCUAAAUGUCUGAGAAAAUCAUAUCAGUCAAAAUUUCAAGACAAAAACAUGGCGCAGAGGUUUUACUAGAACCACUUCACAAUUUGGCUAGUCAAAACUUACUUGCUGCAAAAUGUAUAGUCAAGGUAAACAAAAAUAGAGGCUUUAUAAAAUUGCUAAACCCAACAAACAAAGAUGUGCAUUUAAGAGCAAACAGGGAAUUAGCUACAGUUGAAUGUUUACAAGGUGCAGAAAUACACUCUUUUGAUAAACCACAAGAUGAUUUUCACAAUUUUUCUAUUUCAUCUAUGAAAUCUAGCAACACAAAACCUCCUAAUAAUAUUCAAUUUGAUUUAGCAGAUAGUGAUUUAACAGAAGGUCAAAAGACAAAGCUAAAUGCUUUCCUUAAAGAACAUAGAGGUACUUUUGCUGCUGAUAUGAGUGAACUAGGUCUUACUACAUCCUAUACCCAUCACAUCGAAACAAUCCCAAACUCCCAAACAGUGAGACAAAAUUUCUAUAGACAAUCCCCUCACAUGGAGAAAGAAACAAACAAACACAUUGAUGAAAUGUUGCAAAAUGACAUUAUCCAGCACUCCACCUCCAACUGGUCUUCUCCAGUUGUUCUAGUCCGUAAAAAGGCCCUUGGUAAUGAGUCGGACAAAGUGGAAUACAGAUUUUGUAUAGAUUAUAGAAAAUUGAAUCGGAUAUCUUUCGCACAAAAUUUUCCUCUACCCCAUCUAGAUAGUGUAUUCGAUUCCAUUGGAGAAGCUCAAGCAAAAUUUUUCACAUCACUCGACAUGAGAAGUUCUUUUUGGCAAGUCCCACUAGACCCUGAAAGUCAAAUCAAAAGUGCUUUCAUCACUCAAUCUGGUGUCUAUCAAUGGAAAAGAAUGCCAUUUGGUUUAAGAAACAGUAGCAUUACUUUUGCUAGCAUGAUGUCUAAUGUUUUAAGAGGGCUUAACUGGAAAUCUGUUCUUGUCUAUAUUGAUGACAUCCUGAUCUUCAGUCGCUCAUUUGAGGAACAUCUUUCACAUAUUGGCCAGGUUUUCACUCGGUUGAAUGAAGCAAAUCUCAAACUUCACCCUUCAAAAUGUCAUUUUGCUGUAAAACAGUUAAAAUUCUUAGGUCACAUUAUUUCUAGAGAUGGAGUUGAAGUAGACUCAGAGAAAACUAGAGCAGUCAGUGAGUAUCCUAUCCCAAAAACCCAAAAACAAGUUCGUAGCUUUCUUGGCAUGGCAAAUUAUUACAGGAGGUUCAUUAGGAAUUACUCCCAGAUUGUGAGUCCUUUAAAUGCUCUUCUUAGAAAAGAUAAAUCUUUUGAUUGGACUGAGGACUGUGAACAAUCUUUUCAAACGAUCAAAAAUGCCUUGAUCUCAGCACCUGUUCUUUCCUAUGCUAAUAGCUCUAAACCUUUCAUCUUGACAUGUGAUGCUUCAAAUCAAGCCAUAAGCUAUAUUCUAGGUCAAAAAGAUGAUGAGGGCAAGGAAUAUGUCAUUUGUUAUGGAGGUAAAUCAUUAACCUUAGAUGAAAGAAAAUGGACAACUUCUGAAAAAGAAUGUUAUGCUGUGAUUAAAGGUAUUGAAGCUUAUCGUCCAUACUUGGCAGGUACUCAUUUCACCAUAAUUACUGACCAUAGAGCACUUGUAUGGUUACAAACUGCAAAACACACAGGUCGUUUAGAAAGAUGGGCAUUAAAAAUUCAAUAUCUUAAUUUUGACAUAGUCCAUAGACCAGGAAAAAGCAAUGUUGUAGCCGACUGCCUUAGUCGUCGACCUUAUGAUGAUUCAGAAUCUUCUUCUGCUAAUGUUUGUUCUCUUCAAAAUGAUAUUCCAUGUGAUGAAGAUGGUUAUCAACGUGAGGUCACUUUUGUCUAUGCAAAUGAUUCUGAGGACUCUUUUCCUUCUAUUUCUGCUUUAGAGGUUGGUCCUGAUAUAAAUGAUAUCAUAGGUAACAAUACAUCUCUGUCAGAGCUACAAAGGAACUGUGAGGAUUUCAAAGAAAUCUAUGCAUAUCUAUCUGACAAAACUCUUCCAGAUGACACAAAAUCCAUUAGGCAUAUUAUUUCAGAAAGUGCAUUCUAUUCCAUUCAAAAUAAUGUGUUAUACCACUGGUAUCAAAGGCGUUGCAGAAAUGUCCAAGAAGAGUUGCGUCACAUUCUACAAAUUGCUUUACCUAAAUGUUUAAGGCUUGAUGCUCUAAAAUCCUAUCAUGACUCUUUAGCAGGAGGUGGCCAUCUUGGCGUUGAAAAAUGUAGAUCUUCUCUCUUGCAAAAUUAUUGGUGGCCAGCAAUGCAUGCAGAUGUAGUUGAAUAUAUAAAGUCUUGUGACAGAUGUCAAAGAGCAAAAAGAAACUAUGAUCCAAACAAACCUCCUCGGUCUCCAAUGCCACAAGCUGGUAGAUUUGACAGAUGGCAUAUAGAUGUUCUAGGUCCUAUUUAUAAAACUGCUGACAACUAUGAAUUCAUUCUUGUAGUUGUUGAUGCUUUCACUCGCUGGUGUGAGGCAUUCCCUCUACGCACUCAAUCAGCAAAAGAAAUAGGUACUGUUCUUUACAAUGAGGUAAUAACUCGUUACGGAGCACCAAGGUGCCUCACCUCUGAUCGUGGAGCUGCUUUUACUUCAAAACUCAUACGAGCUAUCUGUGAAAUAUUUGAGGUCACAAAACAUUACACAAGUUCUUAUCAUCCAAAUACAAAUGGUACGGUUGAGUGUCAAAACAGUACACUUGCUGCCUCUUUGAGAACAUAUUGCAAUAAUGAUCAGAAAAAUUGGCCAGCCUUGAUUCCUAGUAUAAUGAUGGCAUUUCGUCGUGCCCCAUCAAACAACACAACAAAAUUCUCACCUUUCUACAUGGUCUUUGGUCAAGAGAUGAGGUUGCCCUUUGAUAUUGCAUUAGAACCAAAAGAUUCUUUGCCUCCAGACAGUAGACACUUUAUACAAGAAUUUCUAUCUAACUUGAAAAUGGCUCAUGAAAUUGGUCUGAAAAAUGAAACAGAACAAAAGGCCAAAGAUAAAGAGCGCCAUGACCUCAAAGCCAAGAUACCUGAAUUAUCCAUUGGUGACCAAGUUUUAUUGAAAAUACAAAAAACACCAAAAGGUCUCUCACGCAAGCUUUAUGACAAAUCUGAAGGUCCUUAUCGUAUCAUAGAGCUUGGCCCUAACUACACAUAUAAGCUAAAAAGACUUUCUGAUCAUCGCAUUUAUCCUUCCCUUAUAAAUGCCACAAAUUUGAGACGCUAUUACCCCCCUGGACCUGUCAGAAGAAAAUAUGAUGACCCACCUGAACCUGAAAUUCCACAAAAUAAUGACCCACCAGAACAGAAUGCAGAUAUCAAUGAUGACACACAACAACAAGUAGAUGGAGAUGUUGCCCCAAAUCAGCAGAAUCCAAAACCCCCACCUCAACAGAAUCCAAAACCCCCAACUCAACAGAAUCCAAAACCCCAAACUCUGCCCACUACAGACCCCAGUACAAAAUAUGUAGUCAAAGAUCUAUUGAAAGGUCGAUACAAAAAUGGACACAGACAAACUCGAGUAGAAUGGGCAGAUAAUUCACGUACAUGGGAACCAGAUACCAGUUUUGACCCAGAUAUAAUAGAAGAAAUAGACCGCAUAUUCACCAAGAAAGGAAAACGCAAAAGGUCACUGUUUAACAAAAAGAAUAUAUCCUUCCUCAGGCCUCAACAUAAAAAGUCUGAAUUCUCAGAUAAUUCUUAGGUAUGAUUAGCCCCCCUUCCCCAGAAAGAAAAUCUUAGAUGUAAUAAGCCCCACUUCCCCCAUACACACAGGUAUAGAUGAUCUUGAAUCCCCCAUUGAACACAUAUGUUUUUCGACCCCCAAACCCACACACCCCUUUACUGCGAUAGGCUUAGACUAAUACCGCUAUGGUGAUUUGAUGGUCAAUAGACAUACCGGUUAUAUAGACAUUUUUCUGAUGAGGAACAUUGCGCAUAUCAUUUAAAUUUUUUUCUCCCUCGUUCAUAAGAUAAUUCUUAUCAGAAAUAUAAAAUUCAUUUUUGUAUAACACAAAUUAAAUUUCAAAAGAAAACGGAAUAUUGUGUGUUGUGGUCAUGUUUGUGUAAGUAGCUGGUUCUACUGUUUUUAGUGCUAGAUUGUAUACUGUGUACAGGUAUACUUUCAUCGACAAUCAACACAUAACUUUUUGUUACAAAAAAAAAAAAAAAAACUUUUUAAAGAAAAGAAAGAGAAGAUUAAAAAUUUUUUUUCAUAUUUUGUAGGUUUCUUGUUCGCUCAUCAGAAUAGUCUUCUCUACUCCAUCAUAGUCAUAUUAAGCCUCAUCACAGCACUGUUGUCCCCCAUAAAUGGAAAACUCACCCAAAGAAUCAACUAUGGAAAUAUAGUUAAAGAACAAGUCCAGUCAUUUAUUACCCAAGAAUCAUGGUUACCCACUUUCCAGAUUAUGUCACCCAAGAACAUUGAAGAACAACCCUUAUUUACACAAAAUUUUGAACCAGAGGCAACAUGGCCUGAUUCAAACACCAUUCUGAUUGUUUUUACUACUGGUAUCUCCAGAAUAGUAAUUGUCUUUUGUAUUUUCAUGUUUUGUAAAGUUAAAAAAAUAGCAAUAACACUACUUAUUUUACAACAGACACUACAAAUACAUUCACAAACCAUACCAUCAUUCAUAUAUCGCAAUCCAAAUGUCGAGGAUGAAUCUCCAUCUAUCAUUGAAAAGUUGAUGAAACAAGAGUUUUCGUGGAGCCAUGUAUCUGUUAUCUUGAAUACCAUUAUAUUAGUAUUUUUGAUUUUUAUCACAUACUCUUUGUACAAAUCAAAAAAUCAAAAGUCAACAAAAAUCAUGCUUGAAAUAACUUCAGGUGGAAGUUGUGUAACAGUGCCAAUACUAAGUUUGUCAUUAUGUCCAUCCUAUUACAAUUUUCCUGUACCAAAAGUACAUGAUCUCUCAAUUUCUGCAUUUCCUCAAUCAAAAUUAUUUGUUUCAUGGUCAUCAUUUAUUGUUACAAACAGAGUUACUGGACAGACUGUUAAAAUACCAUCCAUUAUAGAUAUUAAUAUCAUUACCCGUUAUAAAAUUAGUCAGAUUAUAAAUCAACCAUUUAAUGUAUAUGUUUUGAUAACCCAUCAAGGUUUUGCCUCCACACUGAAUCCAUCUUGUUUACCACAGUCUAAUGAUCAUGUUGAUGAUGUACAUGUAAAGGUUGAUGAAACAACCUCAAUGUAUCCGAAGCUUGAUUGACUCAACAAAUUUCAAUAUAACUUCUAGUGUAAAAAUAAACGCUUGCUAUUUUAUUUUUGAAUCUUUGGAACUUUUAAUAUAUAUAUUUUAAACAUUGGUGUUCAAUGAGUGUAAACGCAACCUUGUUACAUUACUUUCAUUUGAAAAUAUAUACAAAUUAUUUUUUAAUUGAGUCAAUUCGGCUGUUCCAUAUUUUUUACAAAAAUCAGGACCUUGAUUACAAAAAUAAUCACUGCAUAUUUGUUUUCUAUAUAUUUUAAUUGGUAUUGUCUAUAUUUGUAUUAUAAUUUUUAUGCUUUACUUUGUAUAAGAAAGAUACUUCUGUUACUAGUUUGUUUUUUCUACUAAAAUUUGUAUAUUGAUAUUUUUCAGAAGUGAUAUUAACAUUUUGAAGCUUUGGGGACCAAAGCAGUUGGGCCAAGGGGGAGUUGACAUGGUGUAUUUUUCGUUCAAAUUUAAUUCUCAGGCACCAACCCCAAAUACUAAUAUACAUUCAUUUAUUAAAAGAAAGAUAGUUCUGAAAGUUCAUAAUUAAAAUAAAUUAUUAUUUAUUUCUUCAUUUACAUAGAAAACUUUUCAAUUUACGGCCCUAGAUAAAGAUUUAUGUAUAUCUUAUAUAAUAGGUUUUAAGUUAACAUUUUGAAGCAUUUAAGACGGAACUAAGUUUUUAUUGUAUUUACUUUGAAUCGGGAUUGUAGAUUCCUUACGGCUUAUUUUUAAUACUUUUCUAGAAUUUUAGCAAAUAGUCUUUGUCAUGAGAUUAACACUUUGACUCAAACCUAUUUAGCUUUGGCAGAUACAAACUUGUAGACAGAGAUUUAAUUAAGCUGCUAUUGUUAUCUGCCUGAAAUGUAGGUAAUUUCAAUUAGCACUUUUGAUCAGGGCACGCUAUUUUAGGGCCGCCCUUAUUUUUAAGAAAUGACAAAUCCCCCC